RNAcentral lists this long non-coding RNA (617 nucleotides) under Ananas comosus (pineapple). RNAcentral's name for it is "long non-coding RNA (ACOM_LNC004235)". Lineage: Eukaryota; Viridiplantae; Streptophyta; Magnoliopsida; Poales; Bromeliaceae. The record is from RNAcentral.
UCAUAAAAAGUUAGAAAAAUGUUGUACAAACACUACAACAAAAAUGGUCUAUAGCGACACUUUUAAAUAUAAGUACAUGUCAAAAAAGUGCUACUAGCUAAAAUUACCGACACUUUUAAAAAGUGUUGCUAUAUGUGAGGUCGCUAGGUAUAUAGUGACAGUUAAAGAGUGUCGCUAUAAUCUAAAAAAGUGCUGCUAAUUUACCAACACUUAUUUAAGUAUUUAGCAAUCCCUGAAACUCUAUCUCGUUGGCUGCGGUGGCGGAGGAGGACGACAGUAAAGGCUCUUCGUCUAGAAUUUCAGUGGAUUGAGUGAAGAGAGAAGAAAAGAUGGUAAUUAAUUUUUCUUUUUUUUUUCUUUUUUAUUUGUAAUCAGACCAAAUGAACUGGGUGUGGUGGAUUGAGUAGAGUAAUCUUUUAUUUUUGGUUGGAUUGGACUUUAUAUUUAGGCAUUAGUAGAUGUGUUUUUAAGUUUUAGUAUAAAUGAAACACUUACUCAAAAGUGUCCCAAACAUGUGUCCCUAUAACUUAAUUCUGUUGUAGUGAUUUUUUGAAUUAAUAGUUGGCAUUCUAUCUCGUAGAUGAGGGUCAGAUUGAAUCGAAUCAUAAAGGUUAAAA